GCCAGACUCCUACGGGAGGCAGCAGUGAGGAAUAUUGGUCAAUGGGCGCGAGUCUGAACCGGCCAAGUCGCGUGAAGGAUGACUGCCCUACGGGUUGUAAACUUCUUUUAUAAAGGAAUAAAGUGAGACACGUGUGCCUUUUUGUAUGUACUUUAUGAAUAAGGAUCGGCUAACUCCGUGCCAGCAGCCGCGGUAAUACGGAGGAUGCGAGCGUUAUCCGGAUUUAUUGGGUUUAAAGGGUGCGCAGGCGGAAUGUCAAGUCAGGGGUAAAAUUGCGGGGCUCAACCCCGUCGUGCCGUUGAAACUGGCGUUCUUGAGUGAGCGAGAAGUAUGCGGAAUGCGUGGUGUAGCGGUGAAAUGCAUAGAUAUCACGCAGAACCCCGAUUGCGAAGGCAGCAUGCCGGCUUCCGACUGACGCUGAAGCACGAAAGCGUGGGGAUCGAACAGGAUUAGAUACCCGCGUAAA
RNAcentral lists this ribosomal RNA (466 nucleotides) under uncultured bacterium. Its description in RNAcentral is "bacterial SSU rRNA". It matches the Rfam family "Bacterial small subunit ribosomal RNA", at positions 330 to 794 of the family's 1533-position model. The record is from RNAcentral.